UACGGAGGGUGCAAGCGUUAUCCGGAUUCACUGGGCGUAAAGGGCGCGUAGGCGGCCCUCCUUGUCGCGUGUGAAAGCCCCGGGCUCAACCUGGGAACGGCGCGCGAGACGGGGGGGCUGGAGUUCGGGAGAGGAGCGUGGAAUUCCCAGUGUAGAGGUGAAAUUCGUAGAUAUUGGGAAGAACACCGGUGGCGAAGGCGGCGCUCUGGACCGAGACUGACGCUGAGGCGCGAAAGCGUGGGGAGCAAACAGG
Molecule: ribosomal RNA, 253 nt
Filed under: uncultured bacterium
Lineage: Bacteria
Description: partial 16S ribosomal RNA
Rfam family: Bacterial small subunit ribosomal RNA
Source: RNAcentral